This 510-nucleotide ribosomal RNA is filed under the name uncultured bacterium. Its description in RNAcentral is "partial 16S ribosomal RNA". It matches the Rfam family "Bacterial small subunit ribosomal RNA", at positions 28 to 507 of the family's 1533-position model. The record is from RNAcentral.
GACGAACGCUGGCGGCGUGCUUAACACAUGCAAGUCGAACGAAGAGCGAUGGAAGCUUGCUUCUCUCAAUCUUAGUGGCGAACGGGUGAGUAACGCGUAAUCAACCUGCCCUUCAGAGGGGGACAACAGUUGGAAACGACUGCUAAUACCGCAUACGAUCUAACCUCGGCAUCGAGGAUAGAUGAAAGGUGGCCUCUACAUGUACGCUAUCACUGAAGGAGGGGAUUGCGUCUGAUUAGCUAGUUGGAGGGGUAACGGCCCACCAAGGCGAUGAUCAGUAGCCGGUCUGAGAGGAUGAACGGCCACAUUGGGACUGAGACACGGCCCAGACUCCUACGGGAGGCAGCAGUGGGGAAUCUUCCGAAAUGGACGAAAGUCUGACGGAGCAACGCCGCGUGAGUGAUGACGGCCUUCGGGUUGUAAAGCUCUGUUAAUCGGGACGAAAGGCCUUCUUGCGAAUAGUUAGAAGGAUUGACGGUACCGGAAUAGAAAGCCACGGCUAACUACGUG